This 510-nucleotide ribosomal RNA is filed under the name uncultured bacterium. RNAcentral's name for it is "bacterial SSU rRNA". It matches the Rfam family "Bacterial small subunit ribosomal RNA", at positions 28 to 526 of the family's 1533-position model. The record is from RNAcentral.
GAUGAACGCUAGCGACAGGCUUAACACAUGCAAGUCGAGGGGUAGCAGGGAUAAAGCUUGCUUUAUUUGCUGACGACCGGCGCACGGGUGAGUAACGCGUAUGCAACCUACCUAUCAGUAAGGGAUAGCCCAUUGAAAGAUGGAUUAAUACCUUAUAAAGCAGUUGUUCCGCAUGGGGCAUUUUGCUAAAGAUUAAUUGCUGAUAGAUGGGCAUGCGUUCCAUUAGUUAGUUGGUAAGGUAACGGCUUACCAAGACAUCGAUGGAUAGGGGUUCUGAGAGGAAGGUCCCCCACACUGGUACUGAGACACGGACCAGACUCCUACGGGAGGCAGCAGUGAGGAAUAUUGGUCAAUGGUCGAAAGACUGAACCAGCCAAGUCGCGUGAGGGAAGACAGCCCUAUGGGUUUUAAACCUCUUUUGUAAUGGAAGAAUAAGUCUUACGAGUAGGACGAUGCCAGUACAUUACGAAUAAGCAUCGGCUAACUCCGUGCCAGCAGCCGCAGUAAUAC